Molecule: long non-coding RNA, 888 nt
Organism: Mustela lutreola (European mink)
Lineage: Eukaryota; Metazoa; Chordata; Mammalia; Carnivora; Mustelidae
Exons: 4
Source: RefSeq, a predicted model, not a curated record
CGCCCGAGCGAGCCCGGCCGGAGCUGGGAGGAGCGCGGCGCGGGCUCGCCUGGACUGCGGGGCCCCGGCUUUGGGGUGGUGGUGGUGGGGGGGACGGUCCGUGCCGGCCGCGUAGGACCGAGGCGCGGGGACCGAGCGGCCAGCCGGCCUCCGGGAACCAUCGAGCUGGGGGUGGCGGAGCUGGGACACCGCCCUGGGGUUGCGCCCCUGGGGGCGGGGGGCGGCGAGACCCCUCCCCCCUUUGUCUUAGGUACUCGGAGGUGCGGGGCUGCGCCCGGGCCCGAGCCACGAGCACAGAGCCCUGCCCUGAGCGAGCCCUUAAAGUGCCCCGGCUUUGAUUGCAACCCCGGUGCGCGGGGGAGCGGGAAAGGGAGUGAUAAGCUGGCAGACAAAGCGUAACUGCCAUUAUUAAGCACCCAGGCUGGCCGGGCGCGGUCACCACCCUUUUUUCUCGAGGUGGCCGCCGAGGCACACGGAACACAAAGCAGGUGCCCUAGGACUGUGGAAGAGGCAGAGCCGGGAUGCGAACCUGGGACUUUUGGCUCUUGGCCCAGUGCGCCAGGCUGAGGAAAACGUGUACUUUGAAAACCGGGAAGGGUUUGGUCCACCUCCUAGCAAAUCGUUUGGGAUGAACAUGAGAAAUGUUUGCAUUUUCAUCUCUCCGUCCAGGCUGAAGAACUUCUUUUAACAUUUCUUGGAGGCCGCGUCCUGUCCUUGCGUGCCAUUUGGUCUGGCACAUGAUGUAGGUGCUCCAAGCGGAUCUGCUGGACACUGACCGGAGACUGGUAGGCACUUGACACGUUUUCUGGGAUGGUCUCUGAUUAAUGCUUAGUGUGCAAGUUCACCUCACGUUAAGAUACUGGUUAUUUUUGUUGAGACCAUGUAAAA